RNAcentral lists this ribosomal RNA (497 nucleotides) under uncultured bacterium. RNAcentral describes it as "partial 16S ribosomal RNA". It matches the Rfam family "Bacterial small subunit ribosomal RNA", at positions 28 to 507 of the family's 1533-position model. The record is from RNAcentral.
GAUGAACGCUGGCGGCGUGCCUAAUACAUGCAAGUCGAGCGAACAGACGAGGAGCUUGCUCCUCUGACGUUAGCGGCGGACGGGUGAGUAACACGUGGAUAACCUACCUAUAAGACUGGGAUAACUUCGGGAAACCGGAGCUAAUACCGGAUAAUAUAUUGAACCGCAUGGUUCAAUAGUGAAAGACGGUUUUGCUGUCACUUAUAGAUGGAUCCGCGCCGCAUUAGCUAGUUGGUAAGGUAACGGCUUACCAAGGCAACGAUGCGUAGCCGACCUGAGAGGGUGAUCGGCCACACGGGAACUGAGACACGGUCCAGACUCCUACGGGAGGCAGCAGUAGGGAAUAUUCCGCAAUGGGCGAAAGCCUGACGGAGCAACGCCGCGUGAGUGAUGAAGGUCUUCGGAUCGUAAAACUCUGUUAUUAGGGAAGAACAAAUGUGUAAGUAACUAUGCACGUCUUGACGGUACCUAAUCAGAAAGCCACGGCUAACUACGUG